GAUGAACGCUGGCGGCGUGCCUAAUACAUGCAAGUCGAGCGAACAGACGAGGAGCUUGCUCCUCUGACGUUAGCGGCGGACGGGUGAGUAACACGUGGAUAACCUACCUAUAAGACUGGGAUAACUUCGGGAAACCGGAGCUAAUACCGGAUAAUAUAUUGAACCGCAUGGUUCAAUAGUGAAAGACGGUUUUGCUGUCACUUAUAGAUGGAUCCGCGCCGCAUUAGCUAGUUGGUAAGGUAACGGCUUACCAAGGCGACGAUGCGUAGCCGACCUGAGAGGGUGAUCGGCCACACUGGAACGGAGACACGGUCCAGACUACUACGGGAGGCAGCAGUAGGGAAUCUUACGCAAUGGGCGAAAGCCUGACGGAGCAACGCCGCGUGAGUGAUGAAGGUCUUCGGAGCGUAAAACUCUGUUAUUAGGGAAGAACAAAUGUGUAAGUAACUAUGCACGUCUUGACGGUACCUAAUCAGAAAGCCACGGCUAACUACGUG
RNAcentral lists this ribosomal RNA (497 nucleotides) under uncultured bacterium. RNAcentral's name for it is "partial 16S ribosomal RNA". It matches the Rfam family "Bacterial small subunit ribosomal RNA", at positions 28 to 507 of the family's 1533-position model. The record is from RNAcentral.